This 77-nucleotide transfer RNA is filed under the name Pseudomonadota bacterium. RNAcentral describes it as "tRNA-Met". It matches the Rfam family "tRNA". Rfam says of the family: Transfer RNA (tRNA) molecules are approximately 80 nucleotides in length. Their secondary structure includes four short double-helical elements and three loops (D, anti-codon, and T loops). Lineage: Bacteria; Pseudomonadati; Pseudomonadota. RNAcentral also lists the same sequence under 1 other name. The record is from RNAcentral.
GGCUUCGUAGCUCAGUUGGUUAGAGCACGCGGUUCAUACCCGCGGUGUCGUAGGUUCAAGUCCCACCGAAGCCACCA